CCAUCUAUAAUCUCUAAUUUGAUUCUUGCAUUACCUAGAAAAUAGAUGUGAUUGGUUUUAUACCUCUUUCACUAUUCUCACCUUCUCAAUCUAGUUCGAAUCAUUAUCAUUACCAAUGAUUACAAAUGAAGUGCCCAAUCUUUUUUUUCUAAGGUUAGGGGAGCCUAGUUUCAUCUGUUUUCUGUUAUCAAAACCUUUACUAGCUUAUAAGUUGGUAUUUUAUAUUUGACAUAUUUGAUAAAUAU
RNAcentral lists this long non-coding RNA (245 nucleotides) under Elaeis guineensis (African oil palm). RNAcentral describes it as "long non-coding RNA (EGUI_LNC076735)". The record is from RNAcentral. Lineage: Eukaryota; Viridiplantae; Streptophyta; Magnoliopsida; Arecales; Arecaceae.